Molecule: ribosomal RNA, 253 nt
Filed under: uncultured bacterium
Lineage: Bacteria
Description: partial 16S ribosomal RNA
Rfam family: Bacterial small subunit ribosomal RNA
Source: RNAcentral
GACAGAGGCCUCGAGCGUUAGGCGGAAUCACUGGGCUUAAAGCGUGUGUAGGCGGAUCGUUAAGUACCUUGUGAAAUCCCACGGCUCAACCGUGGAACGGCUGGGUAUACUGGCGGUCUUGGGCCAUUCAGGGGCGACUGGAACAAGCGGUGGAGCGGUGAAAUGCGUAGAUAUCGCUUGGAACGCCGAAGGUGAAAACAGGUCGCUGGGGAUGUGCCGACGCUGAGACACGAAAGCCAGGGGAGUAAACGGG